Long non-coding RNA from Myotis lucifugus (little brown bat), 1305 nucleotides. RefSeq lists it as uncharacterized. NCBI's taxonomy places the organism in Eukaryota, Metazoa, Chordata, Mammalia, Chiroptera, Vespertilionidae. The record is from RefSeq and is a predicted model, not a curated record. The transcript has 2 exons.
GCCUCAGCUCGAGAAGAACCCCCCAUCCUUGGGUCCUCCAGCAUCUUCAAGGCCCCCAUUCUCUGCACAGCAGGAGCCCCCACGGUUACCUGCCUGGGGUCAGGGCCUGGCAACGCUCCAUGGUAACAGUGAGCUGAGUGGGCGCCUCAGCGCCUUUGCCUAUGAAAAGGGGAGGGCUCCUUCCCUGGGCGUUACCAUCAGGGCCACAGGGCAGAGUGGUCUUGGUGGGGAAACGGCUUCUGCAGAGGGUGGCUCUGUUCCCAGAACACACUGCACCAAGCAGGCCCUGCCAUUUCCCCGCCUGUGGCCACCUGCUGGGGAUGCUCAGGAAGGUGUGGGGACCAGUUGGGCAGGUCCCCAGGAAGCUGACUCUUUGCCUUGGAUCACCAGCUGGUCCACAGCCUGCUGGCACCACACCCCGUGUGUCAGCCUCCGGGAGGCUCACUGGCCUGUUCUGCUGUGUCUCCGACCAUCUUAUCCACAUGUUACGUUGGGCACAGGCGGUGUGCAGAGCAGAUGCCCCCGAGAACCUGCCCUGUGGACCUCCUGCCCCCUCGGCAGCGACUGCACCCGGCGCUCACCUGUCCCGGCACCGUCUCAGUGAAUUUCCUGUAUCAACGCAUGUGGUUCUCACCUAACCCAGUGAGGCAAGAAAACCAAGGCUCUGAAAAGCGAGGUAACUCGGUGGUCAUCGCAAACAGUAAGGAUUCCAGGCCGGUCUGUCUGGGUUGACAAGAUGGGGCGCUUUUUCCAUUCUGCCCGAUGGGGCUGACUUUUGACACUGUAUUCUCAAACCCGUGAUUUAAAAUACAACAUUCGUCAUUCCUCCAAGAAAUUAAACACGGGAUCGCCAUAUCCAGCACUGUCACCUCUGCGGACAUGCUCAGAACCACGGAGAGCAGAGCCUGGAACAGAUAUUCGCACACCCACAUCCAUAGCAGCGUUGUUCACAACAGCCAGAGGUGGAAGCCACCCCAGUGCCACCAGCAGGUGCGCGGGUAAACAAAGGCGGCAUCUAUACACAAUGGGUAUUAUUCAGCCAUAAAGAGGAAGGACAUUCUGACACAGGCUACAACACGAAGGAACCUUGAGGACAUUAUGCUGAGUGAAAUAAAACAAAUUCUGUGUGAUUCCACUUACACAGGUUCCUGAAAUAGCCCUGCAGAACAUGAGUCAUCGCAGGCGUGCCUGUCAGCUCAGGAACUGACCCAGAACACACACCGCAGAGCUCACAGGGACACCGCGGGAGGCCGGUGCUCAUUGGAAAACUAAACUUAAUGAAUCAUUAUAGUUAUUAUUUAUUGA